AACGAACGCUGGCGGCAUGCCUAACACAUGCAAGUCGAACGAGACGUUCGGGUCUAGUGGCGCACGGGUGCGUAACGCGUGGGAACCUGCCCUUAGGUUAGGAAUAACUCCCCGAAAGGUGUGCUAAUAACGGAUAAUGUCUUAGGGCAAAAGAUUUAUCGCCGUUGGGUGGGGGCGGGUUGGUUUAGCCAGUUGGUAGGGUAAAAGCCUACCAAGGCGACGAUGCAGAGCUGGUCUGUGAGGAUGACCCGCCACGCUUGGACUGCGACACGGACCAGACCCCUACGCGGAGGAGCAGUGGGGAAUAUUGGACGAGGGGCGAAAGUCUGACAAAGCAACGCCGGGUAAGUGAUGAAGGCGUUAGGGUUGUAAAGCUCUUUUACCCGGGAUGAUAAUGACAGUACCGGGAGAAUAAGCUCCGGCUAACUCCGUG
RNAcentral lists this ribosomal RNA (433 nucleotides) under uncultured bacterium. RNAcentral describes it as "partial 16S ribosomal RNA". It matches the Rfam family "Bacterial small subunit ribosomal RNA", at positions 29 to 507 of the family's 1533-position model. The record is from RNAcentral.